Non-coding RNA from Macrostomum lignano, 146 nucleotides. Lineage: Eukaryota; Metazoa; Platyhelminthes; Macrostomidae. The record is from Rfam.
GAAUCUGAAUGUACAAAAAAAAUCCGAAUGUUUCCGAAUAUAAGCAAAAAGUGCAAGGUAAACGGCGGGAGUAACUAUGACUCUUUAAAUUUAUGAAAAUGUCUUGUCAUCUAAUUAGUGCGCACAUAAAUUGACUGACAAGAUUC